GCUCCUUUGGCCUAGUGGUUAUGGCGUGGCUCUUAUGUAGUUUUCCGGUUUCCGGACUCUGCAUGGCGACUAGCUGAAGUCCAGGGUUCGACUCCCUGAAGGAGCA
This is a non-coding RNA of Aspergillus alliaceus, 106 nucleotides long. The record is from the annotation of a RefSeq genome assembly. NCBI's taxonomy places the organism in Eukaryota, Fungi, Ascomycota, Eurotiomycetes, Eurotiales, Aspergillaceae.